AGAGCUACCUCUGGGACUGGUU
RNAcentral lists this microRNA (22 nucleotides) under Oryctolagus cuniculus (rabbit). RNAcentral describes it as "ocu-miR-12093-5p". The record is from miRBase by way of RNAcentral. Lineage: Eukaryota; Metazoa; Chordata; Mammalia; Lagomorpha; Leporidae.